AGAAACUCUUGUUUGCAACUGUUGGACUAAUGAUUACACCCGAGAUCAACUAGAUGCAGGCAAGAGUCUGCAAGGUAUUAAAUGUGUCACUGUCUGUCCAUGUGUCACUGUCUGUCAUCUCAAACGUUUCUCUUGACCUGUGUGCACCUACAUUGUAAACUUUCAUUCAUAGGCUAGGUUGUAGCAACCACAUGAUGGAUAUAGGGAAAAUUAGAGUAUCAUGUAGUAGCCUAAACCUAUCGAUGUUACAUUGAGCUGGAUGAAUGGAAUAUGAUUGACAGCCAUCCAACAUGCUGUAAUUUUAAGUGGUCCUCCCUCAUCUUAAACGGCACUGACCACCACUGGUAUCAGUGGGUAUCACCAGGUAUCCGUGGGUGUCAGUUGGUAAUAGUGGGUAUCACCAGGUAUCACUAGGUAUCCAUAGGCAUCAGUUGGUAACAGUGGGUAUCACCAGGUAUCCACAGGUAUCACUAGGUAUCAGUGGGUAUCACCAGGUAUCAGUGGGUAUCACUAGGUAUCAGUGGGUAUCACUAGGUAUCAGUGGGUAUCACUAGGUAUCAGUGGGUAUCACUAGGUAUCAGUAGGUAUCACUAGGUAUCACUAGGUAUCAGUGGAUAUCACUAGGUAUCAGUGUGUAUCAGUGGGUAUCAGUGGGUAUCACUAGGUAUCAGUGGGUAUCACCAGGUAUCAGUGGGUAUCACAAGGUAUCAGUGGGUAUCACUAGGUAUCAGCGGGUAUCAGUAGGUAUCACUGGGUAUCACUGGGUAGCAGUGGGUAUCACUAGGUAUCAGUGGGUAUCAGUAGGUCUCACUAGGUAUCCCUAGGAAUCAGUGGGUAUCACUAGGUAUCAGUGGGUAUCACUAGGUAUCAGUGGGUAUCAGUAGGUAUCAGAACUCCCAGCCGAGCCGUAUCACUGUGUGUGUGUGUGUGUGUCCUAUCGGAAAACCAAAGUUCACCUCAGAACCUCUAUACAGCCAGGUGUCCUGACCUGUUUCCCAGUAGUUACCUGACUAUCAUGCUGCACUGUGCUGCUGACACACUUAAACACACUACAGCAGAACGCCAAACUGGCCUGACCAUAAAGUACUAUGUGUAUGGUAAAAGACUAGCAUGAUAAUAGCAGACGUGUCUGUGUGUGCAUGCGUGUGGGAGAGUGCAUGAAUGCGUGUGUGUGUGUGUGUGGGAGGCAUCAUAAUGUAGAAGCCCAGACCAAACUAGGACAAGCCCUGACACUCUGACAAAGCAAACGGACACAUUGACAGAUCUAACCAUCUAUGAAAAAUGGUGAGAAAGCAUUGAGCCAGAC
Long non-coding RNA from Oncorhynchus tshawytscha (Chinook salmon), 1306 nucleotides. The record is from Ensembl. Lineage: Eukaryota; Metazoa; Chordata; Actinopteri; Salmoniformes; Salmonidae.